GAUGAACGCUGGCGGCGUGCCUAAUACAUGCAAGUCGAGCGAACAGACGAGGAGCUUGCUCCUCUGACGUUAGCGGCGGACGGGUGAGUAACACGUGGAUAACCUACCUAUAAGACUGGGAUAACUUCGGGAGACCGGAGCUAAUACCGGAUAAUAUAUUGAACCGCAUGGUUCAAUAGUGAAAGACGGUUUUGCUGUCACUUAUAGAUGGAUCCGCGCCGCAUUAGCUAGUUGGUAAGGUAACGGCUUACCAAGGCAACGACGCGUAGCCGACCUGAGAGGGUGAUCGGCCACACUGGAACUGAGACACGGUCCAGACUCCUACGGGAGGCAGCAGUAGGGAAUCUUCCGCAAUGGGCGAAAGCUUGACGGGGCAACGCCGCGUGAGUGAUGAAGGUCUUCGGAUCGUAAAACUCUGUUAUUAGGGAAGAACAAAUGUGUAAGUAACUAUGCACGUCUUGACGGUACCUAAUCAGAAAGCCACGGCUAACUACGUG
RNAcentral lists this ribosomal RNA (497 nucleotides) under uncultured bacterium. RNAcentral describes it as "partial 16S ribosomal RNA". It matches the Rfam family "Bacterial small subunit ribosomal RNA", at positions 28 to 507 of the family's 1533-position model. The record is from RNAcentral.